This 468-nucleotide ribosomal RNA is filed under the name uncultured bacterium. RNAcentral describes it as "partial 16S ribosomal RNA". It matches the Rfam family "Bacterial small subunit ribosomal RNA", at positions 28 to 507 of the family's 1533-position model. The record is from RNAcentral.
GACGAACGCUGGCGGCGUGCUUAACACAUGCAAGUCGAACGGAAAGGCCCUGCUUUUGUGGGGUGCUCGAGUGGCGAACGGGGGAGUAACACGUGAGUAACCUGCCCUUGACUUUGGGAUAACUUCAGGAAACUGGGGCUAAUACCGGAUAGGAGCUCCUGCUGCAUGGUGGGGGUUGGAAAGUUUCGGCGGUUGGGGAUGGACUCGCGGCUUAUCAGCUUGUUGGUGGGGUAGUGGCUUACCAAGGCUUUGACGGGUAGCCGGCCUGAGAGGGUGACCGGCCACAUUGGGACUGAGAUACGGCCCAGACUCCUACGGGAGGCAGCAGUGGGGAAUAUUGCACAAUGGGCGGGAGCCUGAUGCAGCAACGCCGCGUGCGGGAUGACGGCCUUCGGGUUGUAAACCGCUUUCGCCUGUGACGAAGCGUGAGUGACGGUAAUGGGUAAAGAAGCACCGGCUAACUACGUG